AUGGCACUCAAGGCGAAGAAGGAAGCUCCUGCCCCUCCUCAAGCCAAAGCCAAAGUGAAGACUUUAAGGGCCAAGAAGGCAGUGCUGAAAGGUGUCCACAGGACAAAGCCUCCAUCGCACCUGCCCAUUCCCCAGAGACCAGUCAUCCACAUCUGGUGGCCCAAGACACUGCGACACCACAGGUAGCCCAAAUAUCCUUGGAAGAGUGCCCUCAGAAGAAACAAGUUUGACCACUAUGCCAGCCUCAAGUUCCCACUGACCAUGAGGAGAUUGCAGGACUAAGGUCUAGAAGGCAACACACUUGUGUUCACUGUGGAUGUUAAAGCCAACAAGCACCAGAUGGAACAGGCUAUGAAGGAGUUCCAUGACAUCUGUGUGGCCAAGGUCAACAACUGAGUCGACCUGAUGGAGAGAAGAAGGCAUGUGUCCACUGGCUCCUGAUGACCAUGCUUUGGAUGUUGCCAACAAAAUUGGGAUCAUCUAA
This 484-nucleotide long non-coding RNA is filed under the name Homo sapiens (human). RNAcentral's name for it is "non-protein coding lnc-TMEM44-2:1". The record is from RNAcentral. Lineage: Eukaryota; Metazoa; Chordata; Mammalia; Primates; Hominidae.